RNAcentral lists this ribosomal RNA (408 nucleotides) under uncultured bacterium. Its description in RNAcentral is "partial 16S ribosomal RNA". It matches the Rfam family "Bacterial small subunit ribosomal RNA", at positions 28 to 526 of the family's 1533-position model. The record is from RNAcentral.
GACGAACGCUGGCGGCGUGCCUAAUACAUGCAAGUCGAGCGAAUCGGCGGUUUGGUGAGUAACGCGUGGGUAACCUGCCCUUCAGUCUGGGAUACCAUUUGGAAACAGAUGCCAAUACCGGAUACUUAAGGAUGGACCUGCGAUGCAUUAGCUAGUUGGUAAGGUAACGGCUUACCAAGGCGAUGAUGCAUAGCCGGGUUGAGAGACUGAUCGGCCACAGUGGGACUGAGACACGGCCCAAACGCCUACGGGAGGCAGCAGUAGGGAAUAUUCCACAAUGGACGAAAGUCUGAUGGAGCAACGCCGCGUGAGUGAAGAAGGUUUUCGGAUCGUAAAGCUCUGUUGUUGGUGAAGCGGUAAUCAACCAGAAAGUCACGGCUAACUACGUGCCAGCAGCCGCGGUAAUUC